AUUGAACGCUGGCGGCAAGCCUAACACAUGCAAGUCGAGCGGAUGAAGGGAGCUUGCUCCUGGAUCCAGCGGCGGACGGGUGAGUAAUGCCUAGGAAUCUGCCUGGUAGUGGGGGAUAACGUCCGGAAACGGGCGCUAAUACCGCAUACGUCCUGAGGGAGAAAGUGGGGGAUCUUCGGACCUCACGCUAUCAGAUGAGCCUAGGUCGGAUUAGCUAGUUGGUGGGGUAAAGGCCUACCAAGGCGACGAUCCGUAACUGGUCUGAGAGGAUGAUCAGUCACACUGGAACUGAGACACGGUCCAGACUCCUACGGGAGGCAGCAGUGGGGAAUAUUGGACAAUGGGCGAAAGCCUGAUCCAGCCAUGCCGCGUGUGUGAAGAAGGUCUUCGGAUUGUAAAGCACUUUAAGUUGGGAGGAAGGGCAGUAAGUUAAUACCUUGCUGUUUUGACGUUACCAACAGAAUAAGCACCGGCUAACUUCGUG
This 484-nucleotide ribosomal RNA is filed under the name uncultured bacterium. Its description in RNAcentral is "partial 16S ribosomal RNA". It matches the Rfam family "Bacterial small subunit ribosomal RNA", at positions 30 to 507 of the family's 1533-position model. The record is from RNAcentral.